UGAUGGUGAGCAGACAUGCCAGCCCAUCUCUUCAGUGCAUCCCUAUUUUCUGAGGAACCACUUGGGUCAAGGACGACCCACAUCUUAGUAGAAAGAUUUCCAUUUUAAAGAUAAACCAGGGAUAGAAUAUCUUCAGAGCUGCUUGCAAAGGCAGCAUUUACCAGAUAUGACUAAAUCUUUCUAACAGCAACACAACGUAAAAAUCUUUCUAACAGCAACACUAUAGACAAAGACAGAGAGAAAGAGAUGAAGGAAGGAAAGAAUAGAAAUGAGAUGAUCAGGCGUUGGCAACAAUUUGGACCCAGAGCACUUUCUGUCAGGUAAUGUGACCUCCCUCCGCACUUUACAACUUGCAAAAUACAAGAAUGAAUUAUGUUCUUUAAUUUUCAAAAAUAACUAACUAUAGAAAUGCAUAAAUAUGGUAACAACAGUGUUUUGUUAUUAUUAUAUUAAAAUAUUAUUGAUAUUUGAAAGUGAGAGAGAGAGAGAGAGAGAGAGAGAGAGAGAGAGAGAACUAUUAAUACCAAUUGGUUAUAGAGAGACUUUUCCUGAGAGAGAGAGAGAGAGAGAGAGAGAGAGAGAGAGAGAGAGAGAGAGAUUUCUCAGUAUAUCCUUUGACCCCAAGAUGGCUGCAAUUAUUAAAGACUUACUAAGGUUGCAACACUCCCCUAUCCUUGCUGUCUGUCAGGUUUCUUGACAAUGUUGCAGCUCCAGCCUCACCCCUCUUUCUCCAAGUCACAAGCUGAAAGAUUGGGAUUACCUUCAUUUUCUUGCAUAAUUGUUUUAUUUAUAAACUGAAAUCUUGCUAAUUCACUAUAGUAUUUUCUUUAAUGAAUUGAUAUCAUUUCUAUUUACAUUAAUAUUAUUUGAAUAUUAGGAAAUCGUUUAUUUACCAUACAAAACACAUAUAUCUCAUUAAGAGAGAGAGAGAGAGAGAGAGAGAGAGAGA
Molecule: long non-coding RNA, 949 nt
Organism: Macrobrachium nipponense
Lineage: Eukaryota; Metazoa; Arthropoda; Malacostraca; Decapoda; Palaemonidae
Exons: 4
Source: RefSeq, a predicted model, not a curated record